GACGAACGCUGGCGGCGUGCUUAACACAUGCAAGUCGAACGGAAAGGCCCUGCUUGCAGGGUACUCGAGUGGCGAACGGGUGAGUAACACGUGUGUGAUCUGCCCUGCACUUCGGGAUAAGCCUGGGAAACUGGGUCUAAUACCGGAUAUGAGCCAUUUUUAGUGUUAUGGUUGGAAAGUUUUUUUCGGUGUAGGAUGAGCUCGCGGCCUAUCAGCUUGUUGGUGGGGUGAUGGCCUACCAAGGCGGCGACGGGUAGCCGGCCUGAGAGGGUGGACGGCCACAUUGGGACUGAGAUACGGCCCAGACUCCUACGGGAGGGAGCAGUGGGGAAUAUUGCCCAAUGGGCGCAAGCCUGAUGCAGCGACGCCGCGUGGGGGAUGACGGCCUUCGGGUUGUAAACUCCUUUCGCUAGGGACGAAGCUUUUUGUGACGGUACCUAGAUAAGAAGCACCGGCUAACUACGUG
This 466-nucleotide ribosomal RNA is filed under the name uncultured bacterium. RNAcentral's name for it is "partial 16S ribosomal RNA". It matches the Rfam family "Bacterial small subunit ribosomal RNA", at positions 28 to 507 of the family's 1533-position model. The record is from RNAcentral.